CGUAAAAGCAAACCAGUUAUAAAGGAACAGUGAGCUCACAGCCGGACCCAACUUCAACGGUGGACGGAGAGGAAGAAGAAGAGAGCCAUGGGCGUCGACUACUAUAAAAUUUUACAGGUAGACCGGAAUGCAAAAGACGAUGAUUUGAAGAAAGCUUACCGUAAACUUGCUAUGAAAUGGCAUCCCGAUAAGAACCCUAAGAACAAGAAGGAAGCUGAGGCCAAGUUCAAGCAAAUCUCCGAAGCCUAUGAUGUCUUGAGCGAUCCGCAAAAGCGGGCUGUUUAUGAUCAGUAUGGAGAGGAGGGUUUGAAGGGGCAGGUGCCGCCUCCUCCGGGUGCAGCGGGUUUUGGAGCCGAAGGGGGCUCCACGACGUUCAGGUUCAAUCCUCGGAGUGCGGACGAUAUAUUCUCUGAGAUUUUUGGGUUUUCGAGUCCGUUUGGAGGGAUGGGUGAUAUGGGUGGCGUCUCACGCGCCAGCACGUCAGGAUUUCCGAGAGGUAUGUUUGGGGAAGAUAUCUUCUCCUCAUUUAGGAGCGCAGCCGGAGAGAGCUCUAAUAUUCCCCGUAAAGGGGCUGCCAUAGAACGGACAUUGCCGUGUAGUUUGGAAGAUCUGUAUAAGGGAACUACUAAGAAGAUGAAGAUUUCGAGGGAUGUUACUGAUCCUACUGGGUAAGCUUGUUAGUUGUUUCUCAACCAAGCUUUUUAUAGUUUGGGGGAGGUUAAAUGCAUUUUGGGUUUGAGAAUUUCAUGACUUUGUUGAAAAUACCUUGGCUUUAAAUUCUAAAUGUAAGAAGUUAUCUUAUCCCACAUUAACCAUACCUUCUUGACGUGAAUUUUCACGACUAAGCUUAGGGAUUAACUCAUUCAUUACUUUUAUCCAGACGGCAUUGUGUGACUAGGCUGAACACAAGGGUCUAAGGUGCUGAAUCCAUGGGCCUAGUCAUGUGUUCAGUACAUGGAAGGUGAAUGCAUACAAUCAAUGUGGCUUGUAGCCUUAAGAUUUUGCUGAGUCGCAUGAUUGCUCCUGCACCUGCACUCUUACAUCUGUACAACAUGGGAUAUGAACUUAGUGAAAUUCCUAGUUAAAACUAUUGUUGUACUGUCUGGACCAUUGCCCACAAAGAUGCCUUAAUAUGAGACUUUGUGAGACUGGGAUCUUAGUAGAUAAUAAUUGCAAUCUCGCUUUGUAAAAUUUAGUUCCUUUUGUGGUUUAUCUCAUCAAUUUUAAUUAUUUAAUUUAUAGUUGCUGUGCAUGUAAGAAUUUCAAUUGAAAUCAGGUAGAUAUGGUAUUAUAUGUUGUGAUGUUUUUGAGUCCGGUUACCAGGUCUUAUCUUACAAAUGCCAUAGAAGAUGUAUUGAACUUUGGAUGGUUGAUGAUUGAUGAUUGACAUUUGACAUAAUAGCAAUACUUGAAAAUCCUUGAGCAGAAUAUGGGAGCUACAAAUCUUUCCUUUUCAAUAUCCAUCCAUGUGUAACUAAUGGUUUGGAGUACCAUGGGAUGUAGGGAUAAAUGUUUUUAGUUUUAACUUUCUGAUGCAGGAGCAAAAAUUUAGAAUUAUUUCUAUUCACUUUACUUUCUUGUUUUUUCUCCUUCGUGCAUCACUUUCCUUUUUGCUUGUUGUAUAGGGAUCCUAUCUUUACAAGUAUUUGUAAUGGUUGUUAUUCCAUUGAGCAAUGCUGGCAGCUACAUAUAUAAUUGUUUUUAAAAUUCUAGAUCGAUUUUCUUCUCUGUUUACCAGCCCAAAUCAGCUGAAAUAUGUUCCAACUUGUUUUAUUCUAAGGGAUGAUGGAUGCCUCUUAUUUCUGGAAAGAAAGUGACCUUUAUUCACUUAGAAGCGUACUUUAUUUAUUUAUAUUGAGUAGCUUAUGUGAAUAUUAUUAGGAUUAACUUACAUUAAUCCUUAAUAUUUUGGUUAUAGUUUGGCAUGCCUGAAGAGUCGAUGGUGCUAGUAAUGAUAGCCAUCAUUUGUUUCUUUGAAUGUAUCAUGCUAGUCAUGGUUUGCAAUUCAACUAUUUGGAAAACUUGCAGAAUUGCUGGAUAUUUUUUUUUCUAUGGGAGAAGGGUCUUGGUUUGGAUCAAGACCCUCACCUACAGUUACCCUUUUUGUUGGUGUACAAAUUUAACUAAUCUUAAUGGAUGAAUUGUAGGAUGUAUGGAUCAUGGUCUAGUUCAUCUUUGUAUGAGAGAUUUUGAAUUGGGAUGAAAUUAUCUGCUGAUAGUAUGAAAUAUUUUGUGGCAUGGUAGUGCCUUGUGUUAAUUCACAGUGAGGUUGAGUUAGUUUUCCUACCUUUUGGGCCUUCAGAUAUCUUUUCUUUGAAUCUGUAUUGUAGUUGAAUCAUUAUUUUCCUUAGGUUUGUUGGGUUAUUAUAGUAGUCAAUGGAAGGACCAUUGAGGUCGGUUAGGGAACGCUAACAUGAAAUCUUCUCUUGGUCCUGGUUGGCACUACACAACAAUUGAAAGCAUAUUACUUUUCAUGCUUUUGUUUGUAAUUCACAAGAAUAUUUGUGUUUGUUGGAUGGAAGUUGGAGAAAGAUUAGUUCCUACUAGUCAAUGGAAUGACGAUUGAGGUCUUUUAGGUGAAUAUCUAACAUGAAAUCUUAUCUUGCUCCUAGAUGAUACUGCACAACAAUGUGAAGCAUAUUUUCUUUUUCAAGCUGUUAGUUAUAUGUAAGGAUAUUUGUAUGCAAAACACAUUGCUUUAUUUAACCUUUCAUUUGUAAAUCCUAAUACACGAGGAUAGUUUUCUUAAAAGAUUAUACAUUCUUUUGUAGUUUCAAGACUUGCAUGUAAGAAAAGAGAAAGGACAAUUCUUAAGGGGUUUAGAUUUUCUUGGUGAAUUGGGUACUUGGAGGUGUAAGUAAUAUUAGGAUGCCUUUCUUGAAUUCAAAUUUCAAUGUUUGACAUUGGUUCUAAUUUCAUCUUUUAUGCCAAAUUCCCAACUAUACAUUUCCUUUUAGAUGUUUAUAACUGUCAAAAUCACAUCUGCCAAGAUAUCAUUACCUUUCUAUCUACGUAUACAUUUUUCCUUUGGUUCCUUGUACUGUCAUUAAAUGCUAGGCAUAGGUGGAACACAACUGUGACCAAACAGGUUCUAUGCGUUGAGUGAACCCUGUUAUAGUUCUUGUGGUUGUAUUGUUGGCUUUACCAUCUCUCUGAUGAAGAUUUGGAUUCAUCCAGCUUGUGGUAAUCAUAGUCACAGGCAUUCAUGGAGUUUCUUUGUUGUGGAGCAUGAUAUCCUGCUUUUUUAUUGCACUAACUCACUUGAAUGCACAUAAUGCCUUUUUUUUUCCUUGUUUGCUGGUAAUUCAACAGCUAAAUGGAAUAAUUUUCCUCUUAUUGAGUGAUAAGAUACUGGAGCUACUACAUUAAGAUAUGUUGAGGAGCUAUGAUCGUCAAUUGGUUCAAUCAAGUUGGAUGCCUAAUUAAUCAAAAGUUUAAUAUUUAAUACUUCUAUUGAUAUUUUGGUUUUUUGUGAAUCCACAACUGUUUGAACCGCUGUCCCUACUAGGUAUAAGAAUGAUGUGUGCAUGGAUUUUUUUGUUUAACUUAUUUUUUGUUUCAGUUUUUUACUUUUCGGCAAUUAAUUCUGCAUCUUUCUUUUGCUCAUAUUGCCAGUAGGAAAUUACAUCUUACAUGAUAGCAUAAUAGAAUAGCAAGGUAUUAGAAUAGAAAAACAAGUGGAUUAGUGGUCCCAAUAGCAAGACUCAGGCUGGUUGGAUGCAUACUGAAAGUCUUAUUUGUUCAACUGUGAGAUUUAAUCUUUUCCCCCUUUUUUAUUCACAUAGGAGACCAACCACUGGGGAAGAAAUUCUUACAAUUGAGAUCAAGCCUGGUUGGAAGAAAGGGACAAAAAUAACUUUUCCGGAGAAGGGAAAUGAGCAACGAGGUGUUAUACCUUCUGACCUUGUCUUCAUCAUUGAUGAGAAGCCUCACAGUGUCUUCAAGAGGGAUGGGAAUGAUCUUAUAAUUACCCAGAAGGUAUCUCUUGUAGAAGCUCUAACUGGUUACACAGCGCAGGUAAUGACCCUCGAUGGACGGAAUUUGACAAUCUCCAUUAACUCUAUUAUUAGUCCAACCUAUGAAGAAGUUGUUAAAGGGGAAGGGAUGCCAAUUCCCAAGGAGCCUAACAAAAAAGGGAACUUGAGGAUUAAGUUUCACAUAAAGUUCCCUAGCAAGCUUACUGCCGAGCAGAAAACAGGGAUCAAGCGGUUAUUAUCAUAAAACAGUGACAGUGGCUCUCCCAACUACUACCAUCUCCCAAAUCUGUGUAAGCUUGCAUUUAUGUUCUUUGCUAGUCUAAUCCAGGAAGAAAAUUUGCGUUGCUGAAUUGGGGUUUUCACUAUAACAGUUAUUUAGGAGUUGAAUAUUGUUUUCCUACGUUUCAUUUUUCUCAUUCUUUACCAGUCUAGUGCGAGUGUUAAUUUUUGCCAAAACUCCCAUGAUGCAGUAUGCUCAUACUGCUGCUGGAAUCACCAAAUUUAUUUUACCCUUCUGCUUUGAGGUCCCCUUUCCCCGUUGGCAACCAGCCAGCCACUAAACUGCUUGCCAAUUGAUGGCUGAAUUUAUGAACGUAUCUGCCAUGAAGGACCCAUUCUUAUUUGUGUUCUUACUUGUGAUGGUUUUGAUAAUACAAUUUAGGCUUUUCUUUAUUUGGGACAAUAAUUUAUUUAUGAAAGUUAUU
Molecule: unclassified non-coding RNA, 4681 nt
Filed under: Hevea brasiliensis (rubber tree)
Lineage: Eukaryota; Viridiplantae; Streptophyta; Magnoliopsida; Malpighiales; Euphorbiaceae
Source: RNAcentral